UACGUAGGGGGCUAGCGUUGUCCGGAUUUAUUGGGCGUAAAGAGCGUGUAGGCGGCCAGGUAGGUCUGCUGUGAAAACUCGAGGCUCAACCUCGAGACGUCGGCGGAAACCAUCUGGCUAGAGUCCGGAAGAGGAGAGUGGAAUUCCUGGUGUAGCGGUGAAAUGCGUAGAGAUCAUGAGGAAGACCAGUGGCGAAGGCGGGUCUCUGGACAGUUCCUGACACUGAGACACGAAGGCCAGGGGAGCAAACGGG
This 253-nucleotide ribosomal RNA is filed under the name uncultured bacterium. RNAcentral's name for it is "partial 16S ribosomal RNA". It matches the Rfam family "Bacterial small subunit ribosomal RNA", at positions 524 to 776 of the family's 1533-position model. The record is from RNAcentral.